GUUUACUUAGUACUCCAAAUCCAAUCAGUAGCAGUAUCCAUCCAACGCUGGUAGUAGUUCUUUGUGUGUGUCUCAGAAGUCUGUUUGGACUCUGAACAUUGAAGCUUUUACUUGACCUGUGUUGCGUACUUGGUGUCGAUCGGUGCCGGAACAGUGGGCAGCAAGCAAGUACUGUACUCUACGACGUGCAGCCGCUUGCUUUUGUUUGUCCUCCUGCACCAGCAGUGUAUCAUCAGCAUGGCAUCCAUUACCCAUUGGUGUCAGUCAGUGAGAUACGCGUGCAUGCAUCCAUCAUCCUGUGAUCCAUGCAUGCGCCGCGCUCCGAGCGGCUAUGGCUUUGUUUAG
Molecule: long non-coding RNA, 345 nt
Filed under: Sorghum bicolor (sorghum)
Lineage: Eukaryota; Viridiplantae; Streptophyta; Magnoliopsida; Poales; Poaceae
Description: long non-coding RNA (SBIC_LNC001811)
Source: RNAcentral